This 520-nucleotide ribosomal RNA is filed under the name uncultured Glomus. RNAcentral describes it as "SSU rRNA". It matches the Rfam family "Eukaryotic small subunit ribosomal RNA", at positions 569 to 1087 of the family's 1831-position model. Lineage: Eukaryota; Fungi; Glomeromycota; Glomeromycetes; Glomerales; Glomeraceae. The record is from RNAcentral.
AGCAGCCGCGGUAAUUCCAGCUCCAAUAGCGUAUAUUAAAGUUGUUGCAGUUAAAAAGCUCGUAGUUGAAUUUCGGGGUCAGUAGUUUGGUCGUGCCAAUGGUAUGUACUGGGCUCACUGAUUCCUCCUUCCUGAUGAACUGUAAUGCCAUUAAUUUGGUGUUGCAGGGAAACUGGACCGUUACUUUGAAAAAAUUAGAGUGUUUAAAGCAAGCUAACGCUUGAAUACAUUAGCAUGGAAUAAUGAAAUAGGACGUUCGAUCCUAUUUUGUUGGUUUCUAGGAUUGACGUAAUGAUUAAUAGGGAUAGUUGGGGGCAUUAGUAUUCAAUUGUCAGAGGUGAAAUUCUUGGAUUUAUUGAAGACUAACUACUGCGAAAGCAUUGCCAAGGAUGUUUUCAUUAAUCAAGAACGAAAGUUAGGGAUCGAAGACGAUCAGAUACCGUCGUAGUCUUAACCAUAAACUAUAGCCGACGUAGGGAUCGGUAUGUAUGUUAAUUUUUUAUGUACUCAGUUCGGACUC